CGGGAUGUGAUGAUCCUUUCCCCAAAUGAUCGACGGUGAAUACACUGUGCAUUUUUCUUUGUCUCCUCAGAUUGGAGGAGGAAGAUUCAAGCCAGCGGUUCUGAUCUCC
This 109-nucleotide small nucleolar RNA is filed under the name Musa acuminata subsp. malaccensis (wild Malaysian banana). Its description in RNAcentral is "Small nucleolar RNA Z103". It matches the Rfam family "Small nucleolar RNA Z103". From Rfam's summary of the family: This family consists of several snoRNA Z103 sequences which are members of the C/D class of snoRNA which contain the C (UGAUGA) and D (CUGA) box motifs. This family seems to be found exclusively in plants. The record is from Rfam by way of RNAcentral. Lineage: Eukaryota; Viridiplantae; Streptophyta; Magnoliopsida; Zingiberales; Musaceae.